AGAGUUUGAUCCUGGCCCUAAAAGAACGCUGGCGGCAUGCCUUACACAUGCAAGUCGCUCGGCAGCACGGACUUCGGUCUGGUGGCGAGUGGCGAACGGGUGAGUAAUGUAUCGGAACGUACCUUUCAGUGGGGGAUAACGUAGCGAAAGUUACGCUAAUACCGCAUAUUCUGUGAGCAGGAAAGCAGGGGAUCGCAAGACCUUGCGCUGAUUGAGCGGCCGAUAUCAGAUUAGCUAGUUGGUGGGGUAAAGGCCUNACCAAGGCUACGAUCUGUAGCGGGUCUGAGAGGAUGAUCCGCCACACUGGAACUGAGACACGGUCCAGACUCCUACGGGAGGCAGCAGUGGGGAAUUUUGGACAAUGGGGGCAACCCUGAUCCAGCCAUGCCGCGUGAGUGAAGAAGGCCUUCGGGUUGUAAAGCUCUUUCGGCCGGGAAGAAAUCGCAUAGGUUAAUACCCUGUGUGGAUGACGGUACCCGAAUAAGAAGCACCGGCUAACUACGUGCCAGCAGCCGCGGUAAUACGUAGGGUGCGAGCGUUAAUCGGAAUUACUGGGCGUAAAGCGUGCGCAGGCGGUUUCGUAAGACAGAGGUGAAAUCCCCGGGCUCAACCUGGGAACUGCCUUUGUGACUGCGAAGCUAGAGUACGGCAGAGGGGGGUGGAAUUCCACGUGUAGCAGUGAAAUGCGUAGAGAUGUGGAGGAACACCGAUGGCGAAGGCAGCCCCCUGGGCCGAUACUGACGCUCAUGCACGAAAGCGUGGGUAGCAAACAGGAUUAGAUACCCUGGUAGUCCACGCCCUAAACGAUGUCAACUAGGUGUUGGGUGGGUAAAACCAUUUAGUACCGUAGCUAACGCGUGAAGUUGACCGCCUGGGGAGUACGGCCGCAAGGUUAAAACUCAAAGGAAUUGACGGGGACCCGCACAAGCGGUGGAUGAUGUGGAUUAAUUCGAUGCAACGCGAAAAACCUUACCUACCCUUGACAUGUUCAGAAUCCCGGAGAGAUUUGGGAGUGCCCGAAAGGGAGCUGGAACACAGGUGCUGCAUGGCUGUCGUCAGCUCGUGUCGUGAGAUGUUGGGUUAAGUCCCGCAACGAGCGCAACCCUUGUCGUUAAUUGCCAUCAUUUAGUUGGGCACUUUAACGAGACUGCCGGUGACAAACCGGAGGAAGGUGGGGAUGACGUCAAGUCCUCAUGGCCCUUAUGGGUAGGGCUUCACACGUCAUACAAUGGUCGGUACAGAGGGUUGCCAAGCCGCGAGGUGGAGCCAAUCCCAGAAAGCCGAUCGUAGUCCGGAUUGCAGGCUGCAACUCGCCUGCAUGAAGUCGGAAUCGCUAGUAAUCGCGGAUCAGCAUGUCGCGGUGAAUACGUUCCCGGGUCUUGUACACACCGCCCGUCACACCAUGGGAGCGGGUUCCGCCAGAAGUAGGUAGCCUAACCGCAAGGGGGGCGCUUACCACGGCGGGGUUCGUGACUGGGGUGAAGUCGUAACAAGGUAACCGUA
Molecule: ribosomal RNA, 1503 nt
Filed under: Dechloromonas sp. enrichment culture clone ECC1-1
Lineage: Bacteria; Pseudomonadati; Pseudomonadota; Betaproteobacteria; Rhodocyclales; Azonexaceae
Description: bacterial SSU rRNA
Rfam family: Bacterial small subunit ribosomal RNA
Source: RNAcentral